GAUGAAUGCUGGCGGCGUGCCUAAUACAUGCAAGUCGAGCGAACGGACGAGAAGCUUGCUUCUCUGAUGUUAGCGGCGGACGGGUGAGUAACACGUGGAUAACCUACCUAUAAGACUGGGAUAACUUCGGGAAACCGUAGCUAAUACCGGAUAAUAUUUUGAACCGCAUGGUUCAAAAGUGAAAGACGGUCUUGCUGUCACUUAUAGAUGGAUCCGCGCUGCAUUAGCUAGUUGGUAAGGUAACGGCUUACCAAGGCAACGAUGCAUAGCCGACCUGAGAGGGUGAUCGGCCACACUGGAACUGAGACACGGUCCAGACUCCUACGGGAGGCAGCAGUAGGGAAUCUUCCGCAAUGGGCGAAAGCCUGACGGAGCAACGCCGCGUGAGUGAUGAAGGUCUUCGGAUCGUAAAACUCUGUUAUUAGGGAAGAACAUAUGUGUAAGUAACUGUGCACAUCUUGACGGUAACUAAUCAGAAAGCCACGGCUAACUACGUG
Molecule: ribosomal RNA, 497 nt
Filed under: uncultured bacterium
Lineage: Bacteria
Description: partial 16S ribosomal RNA
Rfam family: Bacterial small subunit ribosomal RNA
Source: RNAcentral